RNAcentral lists this long non-coding RNA (2288 nucleotides) under Vulpes vulpes (red fox). Its description in RNAcentral is "lncRNA (ENSVVUG00000019855.1)". The record is from RNAcentral. Lineage: Eukaryota; Metazoa; Chordata; Mammalia; Carnivora; Canidae.
AUGAUCUGUAAGAUUCCUUCAAGUUCUAACAUUCUUUCAAUCAUAUGUCAUAAUUCACAGUCCCAGCUGCAUGGCAUGCUGGGACAUUCAGACAAGCCGGAUCAGGGACCUAGGAGCAGAAAGGGGCAGUGCUGUGGAGAAACCCCAGGGGCAUUAGCUCAGCCUGAGGAAAAGACGUGCAAUCAAACCAGCAAAUUCAUGGGGAUGUGGCUAACUCCAGGAGCUGAGACCAAAUGGCAGAGUCAGACGAGGCUGACUUAAUGCACCAAAGAAAAGAAGGUUCUGUCAACGACAGCUGUCCAAAAAAAUGAAUUCUUUAUCUGUUGUUAGUUGAAUUAGAGUUGUCUGAAGAUCCAUGAGGAUGCUUUUGAGAGAAUUUCUAUCAAGCCCAUCAGCAAGCCCAUCAUUCUGCCUCUAGGUUUAUCUGUAAUCUGACCACUUUCCUCUCACCCCAUCCCUAGCUCCGCUGCCAUCAACUCCUGCCUGGACUGUGGUCACCUCCUCACGAGCUUCCCUUCUUCAGGAAAGGUCUGAGCUUUCUUUGAAAGACUCACCUGAUUAGAUCCAGGCCCACUUCAGAUAGUCACCUUAUUUAUUUAUUUACUUAUUUAUUAAUAUUUUAUUUUUUAUAAGUUAUUCAUGAGACACAGAGAGAGAACAGAGACAUAGGCAGAGGGAGAAGCAGGCUCCCUAUGGGGAACCCGAUGCGGGGCUCCAUCCCAGGACCCCAGGAUCAUGACCUGAGCCCAAAGGCUGAUGCCCAACCACUGACCCACCCAGGUACCCCUAAAAAUAUUUUAUUUUUAAUCUCUACACCCAACAUGGUGCUUGAACUCACAACCCCGAGAUCAAGAGUCACCCACUCUUCUGACUGAGCCAACCAGGUGCCCCAAUCUCCUUUUAAUCAAUUCAAAGUCUACUGAUUUACAACCUUAAUUACAGUUGCAAAACCCCUUCACCUUUGCCACGUAAUACACAGGAGUGGCAGUCCACUAUAUUCACAGGUUCUACAUACACUCAGGGGGAGGGGAUUAUACAAGGGUAUGGGUCCUUGGCCACCAUCUGAGAAUUCUGCUUACCACAGUUAAUAUUACUAGCCUUAAAACGAUCCUGUGGGGAGCUCUGGGGUAUAAAUUACAUCUCGGAGUUUGUGGAAACUUGAGGCAAGGAAGUUUGAUUUUCAUACUCUCCCACCAGCCAGUCACUGGUAUUUUGGUAUUUCUCCCAGGUAUUUUGGGCUCUCAGCAAGUAUGGGCAGAGGCUCCAGUACCUUUCAGUCAGUUGUAUGAAGAAAGUUGCAUAUGUAAGCCAGUAAAAACAACAACAACAACAACAAAAACAACAACAACAACAACAAACCCCACAGGAAAUGAGAGGGGCACACAGAAAAAAUUAAGGAAAAUAUAGGGGAUCCAGUAAAGUACCAACAGUGGGCACUACAAUCUCCUCAUUCUGACACUUGGAUCUGCUUGAAUCUCACUUUGGGUUCAUUCUGUCUUGUCUUGGUUCUUUCAAGAUGGUGGUUGGUCACAUUUCUUGUCCGGAACUUACCAAAAGAACAUUGGCAAAGUCAGCUAAGGCCCCAUUGGUACAGUCAGUAUGGAGGUCAUAAUGGAUAUCCAUCAUCUCCUGCCUCUACCUAUUCUUGUUUGUCUCAUCCUUAGCAAGGAUUUCUUCUGUCCCAGAGGGCUUUCCUACUGACAUGACCCAGACCCUCAUCCUUGUUAGGUCAGCCACUGGUUCCCAGGCCCUUAUACCAUUUCUGUUGCAGUUGCCCAUUUCAAGUUAAAACUGGGCAUGAGGACAGCACGCUUUGCCCCAGUGCAUUCUUUGAGUUCCAGGGGCAUCCCUUCUGCAUCAUUCUGUAGCCUCAGCUCAAUCUCCUCAUGAUGAAUAGGGUCACCUGCCCCUAUCAGUGUAGUAACUCUUUUCUCUGCCUUCUGUUCUCAUGGCAAGAAAACUGAGAGACCAUGUGACAGCUGUAGCUGUAGUUUAUCAGAACUCUUAUGGUGUCCCAUGGCAGAAGCAUUUCCUCUCUGGCAACCAGGAUAUGUAGACUCACAGAACAUAUACUUAUAAAGAUAAAAAGGACAAAUUCCAGGCAGCCCCAGUGGCGCAGCGGUUUAGCGCCGCCAGCAGCCCAGGACAUGAUCCUGGAGACCCUGGAUCAAGUCCCACGUCGGGCUCUCUGUGUGGAACCUGCUUCUUCCUCUGCCUGUGUCUCUGCCUCUCUCACUGUGUCUCUCUCAUGAAUGAAUAAAUAAAAUCUUAAAAAAAAAAAAAGGACA